Molecule: ribosomal RNA, 398 nt
Filed under: uncultured bacterium
Lineage: Bacteria
Description: partial 16S ribosomal RNA
Rfam family: Bacterial small subunit ribosomal RNA
Source: RNAcentral
AUACGUAGGGUGCGGGCGUUGUCCGGAAUUACUGGGCGUAAAGAGCUCGUAGGUGGUUUGUCGCGUCGUCUGUGAAAUUCCGGGGCUUAACUCCGGGCGUGCAGGCGAUACGGGCAUAACUUGAGUACUGUAGGGGAGACUGGAAUUCCUGGUGUAGCGGUGAAAUGCGCAGAUAUCAGGAGGAACACCGGUGGCGAAGGCGGGUCGCUGGGCAGUAACGGACGCUGAGGAGCGAAAGCAUGGGUAGCGAACAGGAUUAGAUACCCUGGUAGUCCAUGCCGUAAACGGUGGUCGCUAGGUGUAGGGGUCUUCCACGACUUCUGUGCCGUAGCUAACGCAUUAAGCGCCCCGCCUGGGGAGUACGGCCGCAAGGCUAAAACUCAAAUGAAUUGACGGGG